This 240-nucleotide unclassified non-coding RNA is filed under the name soil metagenome. RNAcentral describes it as "partial contains 5.8S ribosomal RNA, internal transcribed spacer 2, and large subunit ribosomal RNA". The record is from RNAcentral.
AACAAGGCGUACCUGCGGACCUGCGGAAGGAUCAUUAUUGAAUAAACUUGGUUGGGCUGUUGCUGGCUUCUUGGAGCAUGUGCACGCCUAGCACCAAUUUUUACCACCUGUGCACCAUUUGUGGACCUGGAUACCUCUCGAGGAAACUCGGUUGGAGGACUGCUGUGCGAAAGCCAGCUUUCCUUACAUUUCCGGUUCAUCUUUUCACAUACCCCAUACGAAUGUAACAGACUGUUGUUU